Molecule: ribosomal RNA, 253 nt
Filed under: uncultured bacterium
Lineage: Bacteria
Description: partial 16S ribosomal RNA
Rfam family: Bacterial small subunit ribosomal RNA
Source: RNAcentral
UACAGAGGGUGCGAGCGUUAAUCGGAGUUACUGGGCGUAAAGGGCGCGUAGGCGGUAAGAUGUGUGUGAUGUGAAAGCCCCGGGCUUAACCUGGGAAGUGCAUCGCAAACUAUCUAACUAGAGUAUAUGAGAGGGUGGCGGAAUUUCCGGUGUAGCGGUGAAAUGCGUAGAGAUCGGAAGGAACGUCAAUGGCGAAGGCAGCCACCUGGCAUAAUACUGACGCUGAGGCGCGAAAGCGUGGGGAGCGAACAGG